Bubalus bubalis (water buffalo) is the source of this 697-nucleotide long non-coding RNA. RefSeq lists it as uncharacterized. Lineage: Eukaryota; Metazoa; Chordata; Mammalia; Artiodactyla; Bovidae. The record is from RefSeq and is a predicted model, not a curated record. The transcript is spliced from 3 exons.
UUCCCCACCCCCACCCCCGGCCCGGGGCGGGAAAACCCAGCCGGACAAGGACACGCCCAGCCUUAGAAGGGUCAGGGCCGGGCCGGAGGGAGCGACGUCGCAGUAAACACGGACUUGGAGGGAGGAGGGAGGCGCAUUCCGCGGCGCAGGCAAAGACCUGAUCCCGAUGGGGCUUCUCGGCUUGCCUCGCGGCUGCGCUGCCCAAAACCUGUCUCACGUCGGUCCCCGCAGCCUGGCCCCGCCUCUGGCGGAGAUCUGGGAGAGAAAGGUGUGAACACAGAGUAAACACUCAGCCGACAGCCCAGGAGCUGAUGAAGGAUAAACACAAUGUAUCCAGUCAUAUGGGGUAUUAUUCAGCCAAAGAGAAGAAUGAAGCACCGAUACACACUGCAACAUAUGAACCUUAAAAAUCCUAUGUUGAGUGAAAGAAGCCAGAUGCGAAAGGCCCCAUAGGAUAUGAUUCCGUUUAUGUGAAAUGUCCAAAACAGGUCUUAGAUGUGGCAUGCGGGAUCUUUGGUUGAAGCAAGUGGGAUCUAGUCCCUCCUGACCAGGGAUGGAACCCUGGCCCCCUGCACUUCGAGCACAGAGUCUUCACUGGACCACCGGGGAAGUCCCUGAAUUGCUCACUUUAAAAAGGUUGAUUUUAUGUUACUGAAUGUUACUUCAAUUGUUUUUAAAGCACUUUAGGUAAAAACUG